GAAGCGGUGGCUCAAUGGUAGAGCUUUCGACUCCAAUUAUCGAAGGGUUCCAGGUUCAAUUCCUGUCCGUUUCA
RNAcentral lists this transfer RNA (74 nucleotides) under Saccharomyces cerevisiae (brewer's yeast). RNAcentral's name for it is "transfer RNA-Trp". It matches the Rfam family "tRNA". From Rfam's summary of the family: Transfer RNA (tRNA) molecules are approximately 80 nucleotides in length. Their secondary structure includes four short double-helical elements and three loops (D, anti-codon, and T loops). Further hydrogen bonds mediate the characteristic L-shaped molecular structure. tRNAs have two regions of fundamental functional importance: the anti-codon, which is responsible for specific mRNA codon recognition, and the 3' end, to which the tRNAs corresponding amino acid is attached (by aminoacyl-tRNA synthetases). tRNAs cope with the degeneracy of the genetic code in two manners: having more than one tRNA (with a specific anti-codon) for a particular amino acid; and 'wobble' base-pairing, i.e. permitting non-standard base-pairing at the 3rd anti-codon position. Lineage: Eukaryota; Fungi; Ascomycota; Saccharomycetes; Saccharomycetales; Saccharomycetaceae. The record is from RNAcentral.